UGCACGUAAUGUAUGAACAAGGAAUUUUAUAAUCCUUGCAAUUGGUGUAAUUUUUUCUUUCAAUGAUGCAAUUUGAGGAAAAAUAAGCAUGAGAACAAUGCUAUUCAAUUCAAAUCUCCUUAUAACUGUCAACAUAAUCAGCCAUCCAAUUUGUGCGCAACUUGGAGAACGUGUACUUCAAUUGUUCAUAAGCUUUUUAUCGCUUUAAGAAUUUUUAUGAAGUAACCAAUCGCAUAGCAACCUACGCAGCUAAUUAUGACCCAAGGAGAGCAAGACUUCCCCAACGGAGUGUAUAUAAACGGUGGAAAUUCUUGAGAUGAUUACAUUGCGCCAUUUCAUUUGAUAAGGACACAAGAAACAGAGAGCUGUUGAAGGAAACAUCGAUUUCGUCAUAACAAGACAAAGAUGACUUCUUCUCGUUGUUUACUAACUUUGGUGCUAUUCAUCAGUCUACUUCUGCCACGAGAGGCAACAUCACUACCUUCGCCUUCAAAGUGCAGAAACAUCUGUUCCAGCAACUAUAAUUCAUGUAUGCAAGCUGCCCCAGAUAAAAUCUCUGCAAACAAAUGUACAGUGUCAAAUAAUGAAUGCUAUAAGAAAUGUACGAGGCAACGAAGAAGUAUCAUGUGGAAGUUGUAAAAGAAGAACAACUGAAAAACACUUUACAUAGAAAUGGUAAAGAAUUCAGUGAAGCAAUAGUAGUAAGAGGGAGUUGUGUGUAAGUUUGAAUUGGGGAAGAGAGAAAUUUCAAGUAGAUAUAAAUCUUGUCAAAGACUUAGUUAAUAUAUGAUGUAAAUUAUACAAUAAUAACAAUAAUACAAUGCUAGAUGUAUAUAAUCAUUUGAAUAGACAAUUGGAGUUUAAAAUGAAGAAUUAAAUCGAUGAAUGCAAUAA
This is a long non-coding RNA of Xenia sp. Carnegie-2017, 894 nucleotides long. RefSeq lists it as uncharacterized. The transcript is spliced from 2 exons. The record is from RefSeq and is a predicted model, not a curated record. NCBI's taxonomy places the organism in Eukaryota, Metazoa, Cnidaria, Anthozoa, Malacalcyonacea, Xeniidae.